UAAACAAGGAACAUACUUGAUAGAGUUGAUUGUUGAAAAAUCGGGUAUGUUUAAUGCUAAAUAGUGGAUUGAGAUUGUUUAUAUAAAAUUUUGAUGAAUGGAGAAUGAAGAUAUUUUGGGUGGGCUUUGCUUGGACAUUUUUGAAAAGAAGGGAAAAGGCUCCGUUAUAUCAAAUUGCACUUGUAAAGGUCUUCAGAAAAAAGUAUUGUUGAUAGUGCAUGAAGAGGUGAAUCUAUUUCAUAGUAUGCAUGAAUGGUUCAAUCAUGAACUAAGGAUGGAAAUUUGGUCUGAUAAGAGUGAGUUAUAGAUAAU
This 312-nucleotide unclassified non-coding RNA is filed under the name Hevea brasiliensis (rubber tree). The record is from RNAcentral. Lineage: Eukaryota; Viridiplantae; Streptophyta; Magnoliopsida; Malpighiales; Euphorbiaceae.